CCGACCUUAGCUCAGUUGGAAGAGCGCGAGACUGUAAUUGGUUGUUUGUCAUCUUGAGGUCGCCUGUUCGAGCCAGGCAGGUCGGA
Non-coding RNA from Rhizopogon salebrosus TDB-379, 86 nucleotides. The record is from the annotation of a GenBank genome assembly. NCBI's taxonomy places the organism in Eukaryota, Fungi, Basidiomycota, Agaricomycetes, Boletales, Rhizopogonaceae.